CUAGCGACUUCAGAGUUUGAUCCUGGCUCAGGAUGAACGCUAGCGGCAGGCUUAACACAUGCAAGUCGAGGGGCAGCAUGAGACGGAGAUUCGUCGAAGUCUUGAUGGCGACCGGCGCAAGGGUGCGUAACGCGUGAGCAACUUGCCCGUUUCAGGGGGAUAACCGGUGGAAACGCCGACUAAUACCCCAUGGUGAUGUUCAGGGGCAUCCCUUUACAUCUAAAGAAUUUCGGAAACGGAUAGGCUCGCGUGACAUUAGCUAGAUGGCGGGGUAACGGCCCACCAUGGCGACGAUGUCUAGGGGUUCUGAGAGGAAGGUCCCCCACACUGGAACUGAGACACGGUCCAG
RNAcentral lists this ribosomal RNA (349 nucleotides) under uncultured bacterium. RNAcentral describes it as "bacterial SSU rRNA". It matches the Rfam family "Bacterial small subunit ribosomal RNA", at positions 1 to 334 of the family's 1533-position model. The record is from RNAcentral.